This 277-nucleotide ribosomal RNA is filed under the name uncultured bacterium. Its description in RNAcentral is "partial 16S ribosomal RNA". It matches the Rfam family "Bacterial small subunit ribosomal RNA", at positions 28 to 303 of the family's 1533-position model. The record is from RNAcentral.
GACGAACGCUGGCGGCGUGCUUAACACAUGCAAGUCGAGCGGUAAGGCCCUGCUUUGGUGGGGUACACGAGCGGCGAACGGGUGAGUAACACGUGGGUGACCUGCCUUCAGCUCCGGGAUAAGCUUGGGAAACUGGGUCUAAUACCGGAUAGGACCUUCUGGUGCAUGCCAGGGGGUGGAAAGAUUUUUCGGCUGGGGAUGGGCCCGCGGCCUAUCAGCUUGUUGGUGGGGUGAUGGCCUACCAAGGCGACGACGGGUAGCCGGCCUGAGAGGGCGU